This 548-nucleotide ribosomal RNA is filed under the name Lactobacillus melliventris. RNAcentral describes it as "bacterial SSU rRNA". It matches the Rfam family "Bacterial small subunit ribosomal RNA", at positions 341 to 873 of the family's 1533-position model. The record is from RNAcentral. Lineage: Bacteria; Bacillati; Bacillota; Bacilli; Lactobacillales; Lactobacillaceae.
ACGGGAGAGGAGCAGUAGGGAAUCUUCCACAAUGGACGCAAGUCUGAUGGAGCAACGCCGCGUGAGUGAAGAAGGUUUUCGGAUCGUAAAGCUCUGUUGUUGGUGAAGAAGGACAAGGAAAGUAACUGAUCUUUGUUUGACGGUAAUCAACCAGAAAGUCACGGCUAACUACGUGCCAGCAGCCGCGGUAAUACGUAGGUGGCAAGCGUUGUCCGGAUUUAUUGGGCGUAAAGCGAACGCAGGCGGGAAGAUAAGUCAGCUGUGAAAGCCCCCAGCUUAACUGGGGAACUGCAGCUGAAACUAUGUUUCUUGAGUGCAGAAGAGGAGAGUGGAACUCCAUGUGUAGCGGUGGAAUGCGUAGAUAUAUGGAAGAACACCAGUGGCGAAGGCGGCUCUCUGGUCUGUAACUGACGCUGAGGUUCGAAAGCAUGGGUAGCGAACAGGAUUAGAUACCCUGGUAGUCCAUGCCGUAAACGAUGAGUGCUAAGUGUUGGGAGGUUUCCGCCUCUCAGUGCUGCAGCUAACGCAUUAAGCACUCCGCCGGGAGU